CGGCGAUAGUCACUGCCUCCUCUUUCAUGGUAGACUCUCUUGUCUAGCAUAGAUUUUUCCAAAAGUCAGAACGAAGAAAAUACAGACGCAAGUAUGAAAGCCAGGGUUCAAAAGACUCCCUUAACAUCAAGACAGGUGGUGAGUUUGAUUGCGGUGAGCGGUGCGGACCUCGUCAACGGCAUGAUGUUUGGCUGGACCGCGGUCUUGCCUAAGCUCCAGGAGGAAACCAGCAGGUUCACGGUGACCGAG
Long non-coding RNA from Penaeus indicus, 249 nucleotides. RefSeq lists it as uncharacterized. The transcript is spliced from 3 exons. The record is from RefSeq and is a predicted model, not a curated record. NCBI's taxonomy places the organism in Eukaryota, Metazoa, Arthropoda, Malacostraca, Decapoda, Penaeidae.